Zalophus californianus (California sea lion) is the source of this 822-nucleotide long non-coding RNA. RefSeq lists it as uncharacterized. The record is from RefSeq and is a predicted model, not a curated record. The transcript has 3 exons. Lineage: Eukaryota; Metazoa; Chordata; Mammalia; Carnivora; Otariidae.
CUCUGAGCUUUGGUUCAUCAUCAUCUAUAAAACGGGGACAAUACCAGCAGUGUUAGAGGGUGGUGGCUAUGGCCACGUAAAAAACAGAUCACUCUAUGCCUGUACGAUCGUCAGGAUCGUUCUUUUAGGGAACAAAACAUGCACAUGGAUUAAACCAGACAGGGAAAGAUUUGAGGGACUCACUAGCUUACAUGACUUACGUAAGCUACUCUAAAAGGAGUAUACAUUGGUAGAAACAUUUUAAAAAGUCAUUAAGUAAUGUCAGAUAAAAGUUUAGGUGUAGUUACCCUUUGACUCAGCAACUUCCCUCCUAGGAAAUCCCUGCACAUGUCUAUAAAGAUAGACAUACAAGGUGAAAAACUGCAAACCACCUCAAACGUCCACUAAAGAGGGAUAGGAUGGAUCAACACAAACGAACACUGUGCAGAAGAUAAAAGAAGGUGUGCUGUUGGAGGAAAGGAGAAAGUCACGCACAGGGAGGAAACUGGGUAGAAAUUGCUUGAAACAAAACUCCUCCGGAGGCAUGGACGUCGGCAAGCCAUUCCCCAACUUGGACAGCAGGUGGCGCAAGUGACCAAGAUUUCUUCGACCACCUCCAAAGGAGGACGCAAGAACAAUCCACUGGAGUUACCAUUCUAAAAUAGAGAUCUGGUUGAAACUGUGCCCUGCUGGAAACAACACCCUGUCGCCUGUCCAGGAAAGGGGCAACUAACACUCACCGAGAGCCUGCAGUGUGCUGUGACUGUGUCAGGAGUCUGCCCUUCACCUUGUUUCAUCCUAACGACACCCCUGGGAGGGGGGCAUUGUGUCCCCAUCUUGCAA